Molecule: non-coding RNA, 947 nt
Filed under: Caulophryne pelagica (fanfin anglerfish)
Lineage: Eukaryota; Metazoa; Chordata; Actinopteri; Lophiiformes; Caulophrynidae
Description: 12S rRNA
Rfam family: Bacterial small subunit ribosomal RNA
Source: RNAcentral
CAAAAGUUUGGUCCUGACUUUACUAUCAAUUUGACCCUGGCUUAUACAUGCAAGUAUCCGCACCCCUGUGAGAAUGCCCCACAGUUCCCCGCCUGGGAACAAGGAGUUGGUAUCAGGCACAGACACAUGCCCACGACACCUUGCUCAUAGCCACACCCCCAAGGGGUCCCAGCAGUAAUAAGUAUUAAGCAAUAAGUGAAAGCUUGACUUAGCUAAGGUUCAGAGGGCAGGUAAAAACUUGUGCCAGCCACCGCGGUUACACUUGUUGCCCGAGUUGAUAGAAGCCGGCGUAAAGGGUGGUUAGGAUCUUCUAUGAAUAGAGCCAAAUGCCCUCAAGGCUGUCAUAAGCACCCGAGGGGAAGAAGCCCAACUACGAAAGUGGCUCUACGAAAUCUGACCCCACGAAGGCUGGGGCACAAACUGGGAUUAGAUACCCCACUAUGCCCUGCCGUAAACCAAGAUAAUAAAUUACCACAUUAUCCGCCCGGGGACUACAAGCGCAAGCUUAAAACCCAAAGGACUUGGCGACGCUUAAGACCCACCUAGAGGAGCCUGUUCUAGAACCGAUAAUCCCCGUUCAACCCGACCCUUUCUUGUUCAUACCCCGCCUGUAUACCUCCGUCGUCAGCUUACCCUGUGAAGGCCUAAAAGUAAGCACAAUUGGCAAACCCCCCAAUACGUCAGGUCGAGGUGCAGCUAAUGGAAGGGAAAGAAUGGGCUACAUUCCCUGUAUAAGCGCAUACGGAUAAUACACUGAAACGCGUAUUUGAAGGAGGAUUUAGCAGUAAGCACAAAAUAGAGCGUUGUGCUGAAGCCGGCCCUAAAGCACGUACACACCGCCCGUCACUCUCCCCGAACAGUAACUCUCACUAACUAAAACCCUAUAAAAGAAAAGGGGAGGCAAGUCGUAACAUGGUAAGUGUACCGGAAGGUGCACUUGGAAAAGA